Molecule: ribosomal RNA, 559 nt
Filed under: uncultured bacterium
Lineage: Bacteria
Description: bacterial SSU rRNA
Rfam family: Bacterial small subunit ribosomal RNA
Source: RNAcentral
ACGGGUGAGUAACGCGUAGGAACGUGUCCAGAGGUGGGGGACAACCCCGGGAAACUGGGGCUAAUACCGCAUAGGGGCUGAGGCCCAAAGCCGAAAGGCGCCUUUGGAGCGGCCUGCGUCCGAUUAGGUAGUUGGUGGGGUAAAGGCCUACCAAGCCUGCGAUCGGUAGCUGGUCUGAGAGGACGACCAGCCACACUGGGACUGAGACACGGCCCAGACUCCUACGGGAGGCAGCAGUGGGGAAUAUUGGACAAUGGGCGAAAGCCUGAUCCAGCAAUGCCGCGUGGGUGAAGAAGGUCUUCGGAUCGUAAAGCCCUUUCGACGGGGACGAUGAUGACGGUACCCGUAGAAGAAGCCCCGGCUAACUUCGAGCCAGCAGCCGCGGUAAUACGAAGGGGGCUAGCGUUGCUCGGAAUUACUGGGCGUAAAGGGCGCGUAGGCGGCGGCCCAAGUCAGGCGUGAAAUUCCUGGGCUCAACCUGGGGACUGCGCUUGAUACUGGGUUGCUUGAGGAUGGAAGAGGCUCGUGGAAUUCCCAGUGUAGAGGUGUAAUUCGUAGA